Molecule: ribosomal RNA, 758 nt
Filed under: uncultured bacterium
Lineage: Bacteria
Description: bacterial SSU rRNA
Rfam family: Bacterial small subunit ribosomal RNA
Source: RNAcentral
AGAGUUUGAUCAUGGCUCAGAAUCAACGCUGGCGGCGCGCUUAACACAUGCAAGUCGCACGAGAAAGCCGGAGCAAUCUGGUGAGUACAGUGGCGUACGGGUGAGUAACACGUGGAUGAUCUGCCCUUUAGUGGGGAAUAACCCUGGGAAACCGGGGCUAAUACCGCAUAAGCCUGUAAAGGGAAAGCAGCAAUGCGCUGAAGGAGGAGUCCGCGGCCGAUUAGCUAGUUGGUAGGGUAAUGGCCUACCAAGGCAAUGAUCGGUAGCCGGCCUGAGAGGGCACACGGCCACACUGGCACUGAAACACGGGCCAGACUCCUACGGGAGGCAGCAGUGGGGAAUCUUGCACAAUGGGGGAAACCCUGAUGCAGCGACGCCGCGUGAGCGAUGAAGCCCUUCGGGGUGUAAAGCUCUUUCGGCAGGAACGAUAAUGACGGUACCUGAAGAAGAAGCUGCGGCUAACUACGUGCCAGCAGCCGCGGUAAUACGUAGGCAGCAAGCGUUGUUCGGAGUUACUGGGCGUAAAGAGUGUGUAGGCGGUUCUCUAAGUUCGGUGUGAAAUCUCCCGGCUCAACUGGGAGGGUGCGCCGAAAACUGGAGGGCUCGAGUAUGGGAGAGGAAAGCGGAAUUCCUGGUGUAGCGGUGAAAUGCGUAGAUAUCAGGAGGAACACCUGCGGUGUAGACGGCUUUCUGGACCAUCACUGACGCUGAGACACGAAAGCGUGGGGAGCAAACAGGAUUAGAUACCCUAGUAGUCC